GGUGUCUUAACCAAUCCAACGUCACUGUUUGACACGCCUGGCAUCGCACAUGUGCGUAAAAGUGCGUGCGCUUUCACGAAACCACGCUUUAGUCCCUCUACGUUCAGGCUUCUCGCUCGAGCCUUCGCGAAUGCAGUCGACGGUCUUGACAACCACCGCUUCGAAACAGACGACGUGGUGCGAACACUUGCGACAUUGUGACGCUGGUUGGGAUAAGGUCAAGUUCUGGCUGUCACAGCGAUUAACUACAACGCUGGCGUGGCUCUCCAAGCGAACGAAGGCUUGAAAACGCUCCGCUUUCGUCUUCUGGCAAGAGCCAUGCAUCCUGGCCGGGUGCUGCUCCGCGCACCCUUGGUUUUGGCUCCCGGCGCCUCCGUUGGAGGCACAGACGCGCGUGGCGCCGCUGUCUCGGAGCUCGCGUGGGCCGCGAGGCAGCUGCUUUGUGUCAACGAGAAAGCGAAGGAAACCGUGGACCAAAAA
Rhipicephalus sanguineus (brown dog tick) is the source of this 480-nucleotide long non-coding RNA. RefSeq lists it as uncharacterized. The record is from RefSeq and is a predicted model, not a curated record. NCBI's taxonomy places the organism in Eukaryota, Metazoa, Arthropoda, Arachnida, Ixodida, Ixodidae. The transcript is spliced from 2 exons.